CACAGCUGAUUGACUAUGUGGAGUCACAGAGGGAAGCUGUGAUGCCAGGAAGGGAGGCUUCACAUCUCCAACAGCUUCUGUGUCACCGUAGAUGAGCCAUCCCUGGGUUCCGGAGUCAGGAGCCUGAUACUCAUACUCAGGACUGAAUCCAGGGCUUGUGCAUGCCAUGCAAGUGCUUCACCCUGGAAAACUACAUCCCACCUCCUUUUACUAUUUUUAAUUUGAGACACCAUUUUACUUCUGCUUGUUUUGUUUUUCUUUUUGAGACAUUGUCUUGUUGUGUAGUCCAGGCUGGCCUUGAACUUGAAAUCCUCCUAUUUCAACUUUCUGGGUGCUGGGAUUAAGAUGUGUGCCAUUCCAUCUUUUCUCACUCUUUCCAUUGCUGCUCCUGUGAUAAACACUGAGUGUGCCUGAAGUAUCCUUCAGCAUUCAAAGUCUCACCAAGUUUGACAUCAGAAGAAUCAAAGGAUAUACACUUUUCCCGAAACACCAUUUUUUAUUACAAAAUAAUACCUGGUCAUGGUGCUAUUUAUCUAUUUAUUUACAUUUUAGGACCAGUAAGAUCAUUCAGUGGGUAAAAUCGCUUGUCACCUGCAGGGAACCAUGGAGUUGGCCUGUCUUAGCUGCCUUGAGAGACAUUCGUCAUAAGUUUUGCAGGGAUUUGCUUCUUGACUCCCCCAUGGCUGAAUUCUUCAAACCUUAAGGGUUAAGAGACUUAGGAUUACAGACUAUUCUUCAAGUUAAGUUUCUCGUGAUGAUCAGCAUCUGAAGCCUCCUCUGCUUUGCCUGUUUCCUGUCAAAGGCACCAAGAACUUGGCACUGGGCAUGGCAGCUGGCACCUAACAGAUGGUCCAGAAGUGGUCAGAGGAUGAAGACCCUUGGAUUCCAGACUCACGGCUGGUCAUGGAGCUGCUUCCUGCCCUGCCCUCCUCAGUGGGGCUUGAAGCUGUGGUGUCCAGCGAAUAAGUCCUUCCCCUCCAUCGUGACCACUGGCUUCUCUCUAUCCGUCCUUGACUCACUGUCAUUAUAGGAGAAAGCAUCAGAUUUUAAGAAUUUUACCCAAUGAAACAGAAAUGAGAAGGGGACAAAAAGCAUAGAGGAUGUGAGGGACUCUUCAAAGGAUAUGUCUGCUGUGAAUGAUGAUGCUCAGCUCUGUGUUCAAGAUCAUCUAAAGCUAAAUAUGAAAUCUCCAUGAAGAUCGGCUGGUUUCUUCCCUUGUGCCUGUUGCUGGAGCCCCUCAUAAGCUGGGUUCCUGGUUCAUUUAGGGUGGUUUUUCUUUGUGGAAUAGCUGUGGUUAGCACUUUGCAGGUACACAGGUUAGCUUUUGCUCAAGAAAACUGAAAAUAAGUUCUAAAGCCUGUUAGGACUAUCUUGAUGCUGUACCAGGUCUGUUCAAAGAUAAAUAUUAAAUGAGGUAAGGACUCAAUUUUAACUGCUUGAUAAAUGUUUAAGUGACUUAAUAAUAUAACAUUUACUAAAGAAGUCAAAUAAUGACUACAGCUAAUGUAAAUAUUUCUCAAAUUAGUAGUACAACAGGGCAGUCAGAAGUGAAUAGAACAGAUGGUAAUUACAGGGAGAUGGAAGUGCACAUUUGCUAAAGCUUCAACCCCAGCCUUGUUUUAAUAUGUGUGCAUGUUGGUGUGGGUACAUGUGUGUGUGCUAGUGCCUGUGUAUGUGUGUGCUUGUGCGUGUAGAGGUCAGAGGUCAACUUCCAAUGUCAGACCUUAGGCAUCAUCCACUUCUUUUCUUUAGAGGUAGGAUCUCACUAGCCUGGGUGCAUCCAGUGUUCCAACUAGCCAGCAAGCCCCAGACAUCCCUGUUCCUGCUUCCUCUUCUUGUACCUUUGUGUGGAUCCUGGGGAUAGAUCUCAGUUACCAGGGUUGGGUGGCAAGUGCCCUUACCCACUGAGCCAUCUUAUCAGCCCUCACCAUGGUUCUUUUUAUCAGAGGGGAAGCUGGAGGAUGCUCACUGGAAGGAUGGCUUGCCUGACAAGAUUCUCUAGUUGAUAGUGAUAAUGGUGACCCACUUGUUUAGUGCUUGCACAC
RNAcentral lists this long non-coding RNA (2045 nucleotides) under Cricetulus griseus (Chinese hamster). Its description in RNAcentral is "lncRNA (ENSCGRG00015029828.1)". The record is from RNAcentral. Lineage: Eukaryota; Metazoa; Chordata; Mammalia; Rodentia; Cricetidae.